GACGGGGCCCGCACAAGCGGCGGAGCAUGUGGAUUAAUUCGAUGCAACGCGAAGAACCUUACCUGGGUUUGACAUAUACCGGAAAGCUGCAGAGAUGUCGGCCCCCCUUGUGGUCGGUAUACAGGUGGUGCAUGGCUGUCGUCAGCUCGUGUCGUGAGAUGUUGGGUUAAGUCCCGCAACGAGCGCAACCCUAUCUUAUGUUGCCAGCACGUUAUGGUGGGGACUCGUAAGAGACUGCCGGGGUCAACUCGGAGGAAGGUGGGGACGACGUCAAGUCAUCAUGCCCCUUAUGUCCAGGGCUUCACACAUGCUACAAUGGCCAGUACAGAGGGCUGCGAGACCGUGAGGUGGAGCGAAUCCCUUAAAGCUGGUCUCAGUUCGGAUCGGGGUCUGCAACUCGACCCCGUGAAGUCGGAGUCGCUAGUAAUCGCAGAUCAGCAACGCUGCGGUGAAUACGUUCCCGGGCCUU
This 469-nucleotide ribosomal RNA is filed under the name uncultured Rhodococcus sp. RNAcentral's name for it is "bacterial SSU rRNA". It matches the Rfam family "Bacterial small subunit ribosomal RNA", at positions 916 to 1381 of the family's 1533-position model. Lineage: Bacteria; Bacillati; Actinomycetota; Actinomycetes; Mycobacteriales; Nocardiaceae. The record is from RNAcentral.